Molecule: ribosomal RNA, 253 nt
Filed under: uncultured bacterium
Lineage: Bacteria
Description: partial 16S ribosomal RNA
Rfam family: Bacterial small subunit ribosomal RNA
Source: RNAcentral
UACGUAGGGGACAAGCGUUGUCCGGAUUUACUGGGCGUAAAGAGCGCGCAGGCGGUCGAUCAAGUCGAGUGUGAAAGCCCCCGGCUCAACUGGGGAGGGUCAUUCGAUACUGAUCGACUCGAAGGCAGGAGAGGGUAGUGGAAUUCCCGGUGUAGCGGUGAAAUGCGUAGAGAUGUGGAGGAACACCGAUGGCGAAGGCAGCCUUCUGGGCCAACACUGACGCUCAUGCACGAAAGCGUGGGGAGCAAACAGG